AACGAACGCUGGCGGCAUGCCUUAUACAUGCAAGUCGGACGAGUGGCGAACGGGUGAGUAACGCAUGGGAACGUACCGAGUAAUGGGGGAUAACUGCCCGAAAGGAUAGCUAAUACCGCAUAGUAUUCGAUCGGCCGUCUUCUGAUUAGCUGGUUGGCGGGGGAAAGGCCCACCAAGGCGAGGAUCAGUAGCGGGUCUGAGAGGAUGAUCCGCCACACUGGGACUGAGACACGGCCCAUACUCCUACGGGAGGCAGCAGUGGGGAAUUUUGGACAAUGGGCGCAAGUCUUAUCCAGCAAUGCCGCGUGUCUGAAGAAGGCCUUCGGGUGGUAAAGUACUUUUGUCAGGGAAGCGGUACCUGAAGAGUAAGCACCGGCUAACUACGUGCCAGCAGCCGCGGUAAUAC
RNAcentral lists this ribosomal RNA (406 nucleotides) under uncultured bacterium. Its description in RNAcentral is "partial 16S ribosomal RNA". It matches the Rfam family "Bacterial small subunit ribosomal RNA", at positions 29 to 526 of the family's 1533-position model. The record is from RNAcentral.